Molecule: transfer RNA, 66 nt
Filed under: Acrocrypta assamensis
Lineage: Eukaryota; Metazoa; Arthropoda; Insecta; Coleoptera; Chrysomelidae
Description: tRNA-Arg
Source: RNAcentral
AAAUAAGAAGCAAUAAUUGCAUUUAAUUUCGACUUAAAAAUAUGAUUUAAUCUAAAUCCUUAUUUU